RNAcentral lists this ribosomal RNA (760 nucleotides) under Vibrio sp. UCH-59. RNAcentral describes it as "bacterial SSU rRNA". It matches the Rfam family "Bacterial small subunit ribosomal RNA", at positions 45 to 784 of the family's 1533-position model. Lineage: Bacteria; Pseudomonadati; Pseudomonadota; Gammaproteobacteria; Vibrionales; Vibrionaceae. The record is from RNAcentral.
GGCCUAACACAUGCAAGUCGAGCGGAAACGACACUAACAAUCCUUCGGGUGCGUUAAUGGGCGUCGAGCGGCGGACGGGUGAGUAAUGCCUAGGAAAUUGCCUUGAUGUGGGGGAUAACCAUUGGAAACGAUGGCUAAUACCGCAUGAUGCCUACGGGCCAAAGAGGGGGACCUUCGGGCCUCUCGCGUCAAGAUAUGCCUAGGUGGGAUUAGCUAGUUGGUGAGGUAAUGGCUCACCAAGGCGACGAUCCCUAGCUGGUCUGAGAGGAUGAUCAGCCACACUGGAACUGAGACACGGUCCAGACUCCUACGGGAGGCAGCAGUGGGGAAUAUUGCACAAUGGGCGAAAGCCUGAUGCAGCCAUGCCGCGUGUAUGAAGAAGGCCUUCGGGUUGUAAAGUACUUUCAGUUGUGAGGAAGGGUGUGUAGUUAAUAGCUGCGCAUCUUGACGUUAGCAACAGAAGAAGCACCGGCUAACUCCGUGCCAGCAGCCGCGGUAAUACGGAGGGUGCGAGCGUUAAUCGGAAUUACUGGGCGUAAAGCGCAUGCAGGUGGUUCAUUAAGUCAGAUGUGAAAGCCCGGGGCUCAACCUCGGAACUGCAUUUGAAACUGGUGAACUAGAGUACUGUAGAGGGGGGUAGAAUUUCAGGUGUAGCGGUGAAAUGCGUAGAGAUCUGAAGGAAUACCAGUGGCGAAGGCGGCCCCCUGGACAGAUACUGACACUCAGAUGCGAAAGCGUGGGGAGCAAACAGGAUUAGAUA